UAGGUCCUUGGGACCUGGCCUUACAGCUUUGGCUGGGUUGGAUUAGGUUUUUGUAUACCCUCUAAAGAGGCCCAUAACAGUGUGAUUACUUUGAUGUAUGGGGCGCUGGAACACUGGUCACCGUCUCCUCAGCCAGGACAACAGCCCCUUCCGUCUUCCCUCUGGCUGCCAGCUGUGUAGACACAUCUGGCUCCAUGAUGACCCUGGGCUGCCUGGUCAAGGGCUACUUCCCUGAGCCGGUGACUGUGAAAUGGAACUCAGGGGCCCUGACCAGUGGAGUGCACACCUUCCCGGCCGUCCUUCAGUCAGGCCUGUACUCACUCACCAGCAUGGUAACUGUGCCCUCCAGCCAGAAGAAGGCCACCUGCAAUGUAGCCCACCCGGCCAGCAGCACCAAGGUGGACAAGACUGUUGAGCCUAUUCGAACUCCUCAACCCAACCCGUGUACAUGUCCCAAGUGCCCACCUCCUGAAAACCUGGGUGGACCAUCUGUCUUCAUCUUUCCCCCGAAGCCCAAGGACACGCUCAUGAUCUCCCUGACCCCUAGGGUCACAUGUGUGGUGGUAGAUGUGAGCCAAGAUGAGCCUGAAGUCCAGUUCACAUGGUUCGUGGACAACAAACCGGUCGGCAAUGCUGAGACAAAGCCCCGAGUGGAGCAAUACAACACGACAUUCCGCGUGGAAAGUGUCCUCCCCAUCCAGCACCAGGACUGGCUGAGGGGCAAGGAAUUCAAGUGCAAGGUCUACAACAAAGCCCUGCCAGCCCCCAUAGAGAAGACCAUCUCCAAAACCAAAGGGGCUCCCCGCAUGCCAGAUGUGUACACUCUUCCCCCGUCCCGAGACGAGCUAUCCAAGAGCAAAGUCAGUGUGACCUGCCUGAUCAUCAACUUCUUUCCUGCCGACAUCCACGUGGAGUGGGCCAGCAAUAGGGUUCCAGUGAGUGAGAAGGAAUACAAGAACACCCCACCCAUUGAGGACGCUGACGGGUCCUACUUCCUCUACAGCAAGCUCACUGUGGAUAAGAGCGCGUGGGAUCAGGGAACCGUCUACACCUGCUCCGUGAUGCAUGAAGCCCUGCACAAUCAUGUCACUCAGAAGGCCAUCUCCCGGUCUCCGGGUAAAUGAGUGCUGUGCCCAGCAAGCCCUCACUAACCUGUAGGCUCUUGAGUUCUGCAGGACCCUGUCCCCCAACACCCAUGUAAAUAAAGCACCCAGCACUGCCUGGGACCCUGCCA
This is a non-coding RNA of Cavia porcellus (domestic guinea pig), 1234 nucleotides long. NCBI's taxonomy places the organism in Eukaryota, Metazoa, Chordata, Mammalia, Rodentia, Caviidae. The record is from the annotation of a RefSeq genome assembly.